This 72-nucleotide transfer RNA is filed under the name Candidatus Nasuia deltocephalincola. RNAcentral's name for it is "Candidatus Nasuia deltocephalinicola tRNA". It matches the Rfam family "tRNA". From Rfam's summary of the family: Transfer RNA (tRNA) molecules are approximately 80 nucleotides in length. Their secondary structure includes four short double-helical elements and three loops (D, anti-codon, and T loops). Further hydrogen bonds mediate the characteristic L-shaped molecular structure. tRNAs have two regions of fundamental functional importance: the anti-codon, which is responsible for specific mRNA codon recognition, and the 3' end, to which the tRNAs corresponding amino acid is attached (by aminoacyl-tRNA synthetases). tRNAs cope with the degeneracy of the genetic code in two manners: having more than one tRNA (with a specific anti-codon) for a particular amino acid; and 'wobble' base-pairing, i.e. permitting non-standard base-pairing at the 3rd anti-codon position. The record is from Rfam by way of RNAcentral. Lineage: Bacteria; Pseudomonadati; Pseudomonadota; Betaproteobacteria.
GUCCUCUUAGUCUAAUGGUUAGGACACCACCUUUUCAAGGUGGUUGAAGGGGUUCGAAUCCCCUAGAGGAUA